Molecule: ribosomal RNA, 253 nt
Filed under: uncultured bacterium
Lineage: Bacteria
Description: partial 16S ribosomal RNA
Rfam family: Bacterial small subunit ribosomal RNA
Source: RNAcentral
UACGUAGGUGACAAGCGUUGUCCGGAUUUACUGGGCGUAAAGAGCGCGCAGGCGGUCGUCCAAGUCGCGUGUGAAAGCCCCCGGCUCAACUGGGGAGGGUCACGCGAUACUGGUCGACUCGAAGGCAGGAGAGGGUAGUGGAAUUCCCGGUGUAGUGGUGAAAUGCGUAGAUAUCGGAAGGAACAUCAGUGGCGAAAGCGGCUUCCUGGACCAGCACCGACGUUCAGGCACGAAAGCGUGGGGAGCAAACAGG